AUACGGAGGACGCGAGCGUUAUCCGUAUUCAUUGGGUUUAAAGGGUGCGCAGGCGGCCGUGCAAGUCAGCGGUGAAAGCCCGGGGCUCAACCCCGGAAGUGCCGUUGAUACUGCAUGGCUGGAAUGCGGUCGAGGCGGGCGGAACGUGGCGUGUAGCGGUGAAAUGCGUAGAUAUGCCGCAGAACGCCGAUAGCGGAGGCAGCUCGCCAGGCCUGCAUUGACGCUCGGGCACGAAAGCGUGGGGAUCGAACAGGAUUAGAUACCCUGGUAGUCCACGCCGUAAACGAUGGGCGCUCGUCGUCGGCGGCAGACAGUCGGCGGCCAAGCGAAAGCGAUAAGCGCCCCACCUGGGGAGUACGGUCGCAAGGCUGAAACUUAAAGGAAUUGACGGGG
This 393-nucleotide ribosomal RNA is filed under the name uncultured bacterium. Its description in RNAcentral is "partial 16S ribosomal RNA". It matches the Rfam family "Bacterial small subunit ribosomal RNA", at positions 523 to 918 of the family's 1533-position model. The record is from RNAcentral.